Molecule: long non-coding RNA, 3971 nt
Filed under: Sus scrofa (pig)
Lineage: Eukaryota; Metazoa; Chordata; Mammalia; Artiodactyla; Suidae
Description: lncRNA (ENSSSCG00025001045.1)
Source: RNAcentral
AUCUACUUGCUCUCUUUUUAUAUAGGGAUUUGGUUUUUACCACCACUCCAUCUUUUAGAACAUCCUCAAAGAAAUAGAAGUUGUAAUCCAUAAAUAAAUCAGCCAAUUCUCUUUUUGAAUAAACUGUCUGUGUAUUCUAUUUGAAGUGAUAAAACUCUUUUGGGUGUAACAGUAUGAUCAAAUUUUACUUUUACAAGAGCGAAACAAAAAUGUAUGUCUGCUUUCUCCUAAACCAAACUUCUGUGUCUGUUCUUGGAGCCCAAUCAAAAAUGACAUCACAGAAUGGAAUAUAUUGCUCCUAAUUUAACACUUUGUGGGUGAUUAGAUCAUAUAAAUGUAGAUGUGGGAGACGUGAUUGAGAUCUUUGUAAAUCAUUGUGUUAAAAUAUAUGGUUUCAUUUAGUACAUUAAGACUGCAAGUGAAGUUCAGUUUCUGACUUCAUACACAAGUGCUAAUGAAUAGGCACAUUUACCACUGAUUAAAUAAAAAUAGCUUCCCACACUGACAAUUAAACAGGCCAGGCUUUAGAGAAUUAUUACUUAAAACUUCACCUGGCAUUCUUUUCAAUUUUCCAUGAGAUUUUUUUUUUCUGACCAAUUUACCCAGGGCUUUAAAACAAUAUUCACAUCCAGAACUAGUGUUUUUAAAGAUAUUUUAAGAGUUCUUUGCCAGACCACUCUGUCAAGGACCUCUUCUUACAAUACUUUUAUUGUUGAAGAGAUAAUAUCCAGGAGAAUUUAUUUUCAUAUAGACUUCCUUGUCUAAAUCAAAGUAUAAAAUUUUUUUUAAGAAUAAUUAAAAUGCUACCAUAACUUGAUGGAUGGGUGAAUAGAAGAAUGGAUAGAUGUACAGACACAUGAUAAAGCAAGUAUAGAAAUAUGUAAAUGGUAGAAUCUAGAUGAUGCGUGGAGGGAUGUAUACUGUACAGUCCAGCUUUGCUGUAUACUUGAAAAUAUUUAUAAUAUUAGAAAAUGCCAUCAUAAAUGUUAAAUCUCUAUGAAACAGAAAUGGAAAACACUCUAGAAUUUACCUAUGUAAAACCAACUUUGUAAAGCUAGAAGAAUUAUACUUUGGAAGUGUAUUCUGUGUCUAUUUAACACAUUUUAAAAACUUUUAUGAAAGAAUUUCUUAAAAACAGGUUGUAUCUGUUCUUCUUUACAGAAGUUCUCUAUCCAAAAUAGUUUCAGGAAGGAGGUUUCUUUGAUACAUAGGCUUAAAAUAAAAACCAAAUAUAAAAAAGUUUUUUGAACUGGAUGCCAGAAGGUGCUAGUAUAAGACAACACUCUCUCUAUAUACUCACGCACACCAUAGGGCUUUGUUUUUUUAGCUGGAACAAGUGGGAUGUGUUUGGUUGGGGGCAUAUACUGCAAGGAGAUUUUAAAAGGAUGGUGUCAGCUUUGUUCCCUGCCUCUAGAAAUGGGUUCGAUCCCUCAGGAUUAGAGACAUAAUGGUCCUGAAACUUUGGACACAAGCAGAGCUGCUGUGGGGUCUACAUUUAGAAAAUAUCCAGUAUCUAGAAAGUAAAGGUAGAGGCCAUUCUCCCAAUUAGUAUAGAAGUCAAGUCAGCUGUUACGGAAUAUCCAGAAGCAGCAUCAUUGUCUUGGACAUUGUUGUUCCCAGAGUGAGAGCCUUGAGCAGAGACCAUAGUGGGGUUCAUUCAAGCAGAUUCCUGGGCAGUGGUGAGGACAUCUAAAUGGGAGAGGGGAAAGUGACAGAUUUGUUGUGAUGCUGCCAUGACAGACUGUCUAGUUAACAUAAGUGAGGCUCCCUUUCGUUGUUCAUAGAAACAGAUGAGGGACACUGAAUAAGUUUAUUGUUUGGGAAUAUAUUCUCUAAGAGCAGAGCCUGAAGUGAAAAUUCUUUUUUUUUUUUUUUUUUUUGUCUUUUUGUCUUUUUGUCUUUUUGUCUUUUCUAGGGCUGCACCCUCGGCCUAUGGAGGUUCCCUGGCUAGGGGUCUAAUUGGAACUGUAGCCACCAGCCUUAUGCCAGAGCCACAGCAAUGCCAGAGCCGCAUCUGCGACCUGCACCGCAGCCUACCACAACACUGGAUCCUUAACCCACUGAGUGAGGCCAGAGAUCAAACCUGCAACCUUAUGGUUCCCAGUCAGAUUCAUUAACCACUGAGCCACAACAGGAACUCCAAAGUGAAAAUUCUUAUUCAAGUGAUUGAUUUGAGGAUUGUUCUCAGGAGAAGGGCAUGAGGGAAGCAUGAUAAAGAGGGGGAGGACAGCAUCCCAAAGUGAGGUCUCAGCUGGAGGUAAGCUUCAGUCAAACCUCACACAAAAGUUCUGGAGGGUAGAUUGCAUCUCACAACUGGUCCCCCCUUGAGGCUAGGGGUGCUGGUCUUCUGUGAGCGUGUAUCAGCCAGUCAUUGCCUGAAGUUUGGCCCAAAUAGGCUUGGGACAGCAUUCCAAAUGAAGAAGCUUCUAAGAGCAAUUCUUUGGAGAAAAGGGGAGCUAUGCCUUGUUAAAAUCCAAACCAUAGUAGUGAGUGCCACCAGUAAAGCGAGCUGGGUGGAGCACCAGGAACAUCAACACUGCUGCUUUUUUUUGUUUGUUUUUGUUUGUUUGUUUGUUUUUUGCUUUUUAGGGCCACACACUCAGUAUAUGGAGGUUCCCAGGCUAGGGGUCCAAUCGGAGCUGUAGCCAUGAGCCUAUGCCACAGCCACAGCAACUCAGGAUCCAAGCCACAUCUGUGACCUACACCACAGCUCAUGGCAACGCUGGAUCCUUAACACUCAGCGAGGCCAGGGAUUGAACCCGCAACCUCAUGGUUCCUAGUUGGAUUCAUCUCCACUGCGCCAUGACAGGAACUCCAUAACCAAAUAUUGAUCUUUGAUUAACUUUAAGCAUGUAGACCAAAAAUAGGUAAUGUGGUUUUCCUCUGGGGAAUGUACCUGAUUUAUCUAUGACAUUUGUAAGCUUCAUACUCAUUAGAUUUUUUUAUAAUAUCAAAAGAAGUAGCAAUAGUGAAAAAAGAAUUUGUUUCAGAGUUAGCUCACAGGGAAUUCAGUCCUAUUUCUACUACUUCUAUGGCUUCGGUCAAGUAUUUAAAUCUUUCUGGGCUUUUGUUAGAUAAGGAACAAUUGACAUUUGCCACAAUCUUAUUAAUAUUUUGCUUAUGAUAUCUAUGAGAUUAUUAGUAGCCAUUGAAAGUACUUAAACAGAGGCCAUUAGGUUUAAAGUAUCUUUGAGAAAGGGAAACCUGGUAACUAUAAGUAUACUCCCUGGAGGGAUAAGAAAUAGGCGUAGACAGUAGAGGGCUGGCACAAUAAUUCGAGCUUGAGGUAAUAAGGCCUUUCCUGCCUUCUUCCCCAUCCAGACUAUGUUAGAGUCCCUGCAGAACUCUCAAAGCACCUUACAAUUAUAUGAUCAGUGUUCAUUUUGGCCACUAAAUUUAACUUUGCUUAAGGGUAGAAACUAUGCCUUGUUCAGCAUUGUGUAACCAGAGCUGGACACAGUAUCUCGCAAAUAUUUGCUGAAUAAAUGAGAAAUUUGAACACAAUAGAGGAAUGUAUUUUAAUUCAGUAGAUACUGGUCAAGAAUAAAUGACAAGUCUUUCUCUUUUGUAUCUGAUGAAGGGAAAGAGUCAUAGGUAACUUUAUAGAUUUGAGCCUGAGAGGACAAUAGUGAAGAAAUUGAGAAGAUAAAUGUAUUAGUUUUCUAUUGCUGCAAAACAAAGUACUACAGCCUAGUGAUGAAAACAAUACACACUUGGAGUUCCCAUUGUGGCUCAGCAGGUUAAGAACCCAACAUAGUGUCUGUGAAGGUGUGGGUUAGAUCCCUGGCUUUACUCAAUGUGUUAAGGAUCCAGCGUUGCCACAAGCUGUGGCAUAGGUCACAGAAAUGGCUUGGAUCUGGCAUUUCUGUAGCUGUGGCAUAGGCUGGCAGCUGCAGCUGUGAUUCAACCCCUAGCCUGGAAACUUACAUAUGCUACAGACGUGGCCCUAAAAGAAGGAGAAGGGAGAGGAG